This 376-nucleotide ribosomal RNA is filed under the name uncultured organism. RNAcentral's name for it is "partial 16S ribosomal RNA". It matches the Rfam family "Bacterial small subunit ribosomal RNA", at positions 527 to 896 of the family's 1533-position model. The record is from RNAcentral.
GUAGGGGGCGAGCGUUGUCCGGAAUUAUUGGGCGUAAAGAGCUCGUAGGCGGUUUGGUAAGUCGAAUGUGAAAACUCAGGGCUUAACCCUGAGAGGCCAUCCGAUACUGCCAUGACUUGAGUCAGGUAGAGGAGUGUGGAAUUUCUGGUGUAGCGGUGAGAUGCGCAGAUAUCAGAAGGAACACCAACGGCGAAGGCAGCACUCUGGGCCGGUACUGACGCUGAGGAGCGAAAGCGUGGGGGGGAGCAAACAGGAUUAGAUACCCUGGUAGUCCACGCCGUAAACGCUGGGCACUAGGUGUGGGACCUUAUCAACGGGUUCCGUGCCGUAGCUAACGCAUUAAGUGCCCCCGCCUGGGAGUACGGCCGCAAGGCUA